UUAAGAUUCACUAUUCAAGUCGAUAAGUAAUCUAAUCGACUUCUAUCGACCUUUUCCGGCAGGGAGGCGCCAUAUCACGCAUCCGCAGCCUCCCUUCCAGGCAAGGCCCCCUCUACAGGAAACUCAUCAUCGUUCCUCGGAAAGUCCGUCCUUGUCACUGGUGAGGGAGUAGCUGUGGCGGUCCCCUCCUACCACCACAAGGGCUCCUAAUUACAUUUUUUGAAUUAGUUUGAAGUCGCGUUAGUACGUUGUAAUCUGAGUCCUGGGACUGAGAGCUCUGCAAGUGAGAGGGAGUGUUGGAUUAUGGCUGAUGCCAUACGGCACUUGCUACGCUCCACUAGUUGCCUACAGCGCUGUGCGCAUGCGCGGCGCUACUCGACUCUCUGCCCGCGUGCGGGGCCCCCCUCCGCCGGUAGUUCGGCGAUUGUACUCAUAGAGAGAGCACGUCGACAUUCUUCGUUUAUUCGUUUUUCUCUACUAGAUAGAAGUCCAUAGAUAGUUUCUUAAUAAAGCCUCGGUACUUAAUAGUCA
Nasonia vitripennis (jewel wasp) is the source of this 531-nucleotide long non-coding RNA. RefSeq lists it as uncharacterized. Lineage: Eukaryota; Metazoa; Arthropoda; Insecta; Hymenoptera; Pteromalidae. The record is from RefSeq and is a predicted model, not a curated record. The transcript is spliced from 2 exons.